RNAcentral lists this ribosomal RNA (457 nucleotides) under uncultured prokaryote. Its description in RNAcentral is "bacterial SSU rRNA". It matches the Rfam family "Bacterial small subunit ribosomal RNA", at positions 872 to 1357 of the family's 1533-position model. The record is from RNAcentral.
CCUGGGGAGUACGGCCGCAAGGUUAAAACUCAAAUGAAUUGACGGGGGCUCGCACAAGCGGUGGAGCAUGUGGUUUAAUUCGAUGAUACGCGAGGAACCUUACCAAGGCUUAAAUGCAUUAUGCUCGAUCUGGAAACAGAUCUUUCUUCGGACAGAAUGCAAGGUGCUGCAUGGCUGUCGUCGGCUCGUGCCGUGAGGUGUCAGGUUAAGUCCUAUAACGAGCGCAACCCCUAUCACUAGUUGCCAGCGUUUAAAGACGGGGACUCUAGUGAGACUGCCACGCAAGUUGCGAGGAGGUGGGGACGACGUCAAGUCAUCACGGCCCUACGUCUUGGCCAACACGUGCUCAUGGCCGUACAGAGGCAGCUCUGGGCACAGAUGCGAUCUCGAAGCGUCUCAGUCGAUGGAGUCUGCACUCGACUCAAGAAGCUGAUCGCUAGUAUCGCAAUCAGCAUGU